UCGCAAUCCGCCAGUCGGUCUAGCCGUGUCGCGGAAGGUUUGUAACCCACUACAGCGCUGGAAACCAGUGCGAAAGGUGAGCG
This is a regulatory RNA element of Rhizobacter sp. Root29, 83 nucleotides long. It matches the Rfam family "SucA RNA motif". The record is from Rfam. Lineage: Bacteria; Pseudomonadati; Pseudomonadota; Betaproteobacteria; Burkholderiales; Sphaerotilaceae.